AUGUCAGGCAAUCCCGGGAACGCGGCAGCCCCGAAGCGGCAGCGGAGGCGGCGCCCGAGGGACGCGGAGGACGGCUCCGCGUUCCCCAGGGUUGUCACGAGCCGGCCAAGAGGUGCCGACCAGGUCCGCGAGGUGGCCAUGGUGCCAGCGGAGGCCAUGGAUAUCGAUGCGGGGACAAGUUCUAACGCCGCCACAGGAGGCGUGGAUGGAUCGUACCUCAGCGACACACGGUUCGAUCAAUGCGCUGUUUCUCCAUUGUCAUUGCAAGGAAUCAAAGAUGCUGGGUAUGAAAGGCUGACCCGCGUCCAGGAGGCAACUCUGCCAGUAAUUCUUCAAGGCAAGGAUGUUCUUGCAAAAGCAAAGACUGGAACAGGAAAAACCGUUGCAUUUUUGCUUCCAGCCAUUGAACUUCUGUCUACAUUACCCUGUUCUACAUCGAUAAAUUUGCUGGUGAUGCUCCCUACUAGGGAGCUCGCAUACCAAGUGGCCGUUGAGGCUAGGAAGCUUCUUAAGUAUCACAGCUCACUGGGCGUGCAGGUUGUAAUUGGUGGCACAAAAUUAUCUCAAGAGCAAAGAAGCAUGCGAUCCACGCCAUGUCAGAUUCUUGUUGCUACACCUGGAAGGCUCAUCGAUCAUCUUCAAAACACACCUGGUUUUUCUGCCCGGAUUAAAGGUGUGAAGGUUCUUGUUCUUGAUGAAGCUGACCGCCUAUUGGAUAUGGGAUUCAGAAGAGAUAUUGAGAAAAUAAUUGCUUUCAUUCCUAAGGAACGGCAAACACUGCUAUUUUCUGCUACUGUUCCAGGAGAGGUCCGUGAAGUAUCUCAUUUAGCAAUGCAGAAGGAUUACAAGUUCAUCAAUACUGUUCAAGAGGGUGAUGAGGAGACACAUGCACAGGUAAAUCAGAUGUACAUGGUUGCACCAUUAGACCUCCACUUCUCUAUAUUAUAUGGUGUCUUAAAGAAGCAUAUUGCAGAAGAUGCAGAAUACAAAGUUAUUAUAUUCUGUACUACAGCAAUGGUCACCAAGCUUGUUGCUGAAAUUCUCUCCCAGCUGAAACUGAAUAUAAGAGAGAUUCAUUCCAGGAAGUCACAAUCUGCCAGAACAAAGGUCUCAGAUGAAUUUAGGAAGUCAAAGGGCUUGAUAUUAGUCAGUUCUGAUGUUUCUGCCCGUGGUGUUGAUUAUCCUGAUGUCUCGCUUGUCAUACAGGUUGGGUUGCCUUCUGAUAGACAGCAGUAUAUACAUAGACUUGGUCGUACUGGAAGGAAAGGCAAGGAAGGGCAAGGCAUUUUACUGUUAGCUCACUGGGAAAAAUAUUUCCUUAGUAGCGUUAAUGAUCUGUCAAUAACAGAGACGGUGGCACCUCCAGUUAAUCCAAGCAUUCAAACAGAAGUGAAAGGUGCCAUCAGGAGAGUGGAGAUAAAGACGAAAGAAUCGGCCUAUCAAGCAUGGUUAGGGUACUACAACUCAAACAAGACCAUCAGCAGAGACAAGUCAAGACUUGUUAAGCUUGCAGAGGACUUCAGUCAGAGCAUGGAGCUUGAAAUUGUGCCAGCCAUACCGAAACUCAUUCUUCGGAAGAUGGGCCUUCAAAAUGUUCCUGGGCUGAGGUCUUCGUGA
Molecule: ribosomal RNA, 1617 nt
Filed under: Triticum aestivum (bread wheat)
Lineage: Eukaryota; Viridiplantae; Streptophyta; Magnoliopsida; Poales; Poaceae
Description: partial small subunit ribosomal RNA
Source: RNAcentral